Molecule: ribosomal RNA, 712 nt
Filed under: Virgibacillus sp. WJ1-2
Lineage: Bacteria; Bacillati; Bacillota; Bacilli; Caryophanales; Bacillaceae
Description: bacterial SSU rRNA
Rfam family: Bacterial small subunit ribosomal RNA
Source: RNAcentral
UCGGAGGUGACGCCUGUGGAACGAGCGGCGGACGGGUGAGUAACACGUGGGCAACCUGCCUGUAAGACUGGGAUAACCCCGGGAAACCGGGGCUAAUACCGGAUAAUACUUUUCGUUGCAUAACGAGAAGUUGAAAGGCGGCUUUUAGCUGUCACUUACAGAUGGGCCCGCGGCGCAUUAGCUAGUUGGUAAGGUAACGGCUUACCAAGGCGACGAUGCGUAGCCGACCUGAGAGGGUGAUCGGCCACACUGGGACUGAGACACGGCCCAGACUCCUACGGGAGGCAGCAGUAGGGAAUCUUCCGCAAUGGACGAAAGUCUGACGGAGCAACGCCGCGUGAGUGAUGAAGGUUUUCGGAUCGUAAAACUCUGUUGUCAGGGAAGAACAAGUGCCGUUCAAAUAGGGCGGCACCUUGACGGUACCUGACCAGAAAGCCCCGGCUAACUACGUGCCAGCAGCCGCGGUAAUACGUAGGGGGCAAGCGUUGUCCGGAAUUAUUGGGCGUAAAGCGCGCGCAGGCGGUCCUUUAAGUCUGAUGUGAAAGCCCACGGCUUAACCGUGGAGGGCCAUUGGAAACUGGAGGACUUGAGUACAGAAGAGGAGAGUGGAAUUCCACGUGUAGCGGUGAAAUGCGUAGAGAUGUGGAGGAACACCAGUGGCGAAGGCGACUCUCUGGUCUGUAACUGACGCUGAGGUGCGAAAGCGUGGGGG